UAGGGAAUCUUCCACAAUGGACGCAAGUCUGAUGGAGCAACGCCGCGUGAGUGAAGAAGGUUUUCGGACCGUAAAGCUCUGUUGUUGGUGAAGAAGGAUAGAGGUAGUAACUGGCCUUUAUUUGACGGUAAUCAACCAGAAAGUCACGGCUAACUACGUGCCAGCAGCCGCGGUAAUACGUAGGUGGCAAGCGUUGUCCGGAUUUAUUGGGCGUAAAAGCGAGCGCAGGCGGAAGAAUAAGUCUGAUGUGAAAGCCCUCGGCUUAACCGAGGAAUUGCAUCGGAAACUGU
RNAcentral lists this ribosomal RNA (290 nucleotides) under uncultured bacterium. Its description in RNAcentral is "partial 16S ribosomal RNA". It matches the Rfam family "Bacterial small subunit ribosomal RNA", at positions 355 to 636 of the family's 1533-position model. The record is from RNAcentral.